RNAcentral lists this ribosomal RNA (366 nucleotides) under uncultured Pseudomonas sp. Its description in RNAcentral is "bacterial SSU rRNA". It matches the Rfam family "Bacterial small subunit ribosomal RNA", at positions 1021 to 1382 of the family's 1533-position model. The record is from RNAcentral. Lineage: Bacteria; Pseudomonadati; Pseudomonadota; Gammaproteobacteria; Pseudomonadales; Pseudomonadaceae.
CGGGAACUCUGACACAGGUGCUGCAUGGCUGUCGUCAGCUCGUGUCGUGAGAUGGUUGGGUUAACGUCCCGUAACGAGCGCCAACCCUUGUCCUUAGUUACCAGCACGUUAUGGUGGGCACUCUAAGGAGACUGCCGGUGACAAACCGGAGGAAGGUGGGGAUGACGUCAAGUCAUCAUGGCCCUUACGGCCUGGGCUACACACGUGCUACAAUGGUCGGUACAAAGGGUUGCCAAGCCGCGAGGUGGAGCUAAUCCCAUAAAACCGAUCGUAGUCCGGAUCGCAGUCUGCAACUCGACUGCGUGAAGUCGGAAUCGCUAGUAAUCGUGAAAUCAGAAUGUCACGGUGAAUACGUUCCCGGGCCUU